GAAGAACAACAGGGAUGCCUCAGUAACGGCGAGUGAAGCGGCAACAGCUCAAAUUUGAAAUCUGGCUCCUUCGGGGUCCGAGUUGUAAUUUGCAGAGGAUGUUUCGGGUGAGGCGCCGACCUAAGUUCCUUGGAACAGGACGUCAUAGAGGGUGAGAAUCCCGUAUGUGGUCGGCGGUCGAUCCCAUGUGAAACUCCUUCGACGAGUCGAGUUGUUUGGGAAUGCAGCUCCAAAUGGGUGGUAAAUUUCAUCUAAAGCUAAAUACCGGCCAGAGACCGAUAGCGCACAAGUAGAGUGAUCGAAAGAUGAAAAGCACUUUGGAAAGAGAGUUAAAAAGUACGUGAAAUUGUUGAAAGGGAAGCGCUUGCCACCAGACUUGCUCGUGGGUGAUCAGCCGUUCUUUCUGGGCGGUGCACUCGCCCGCGAUCAGGCCAGCAUCGGUUUUGAGCCGGUCGGAUUAAAGACCUCCGGAACGUAGCUCCCCCUCCGGGGAGUGGUUAUAGCCGGGGGUGCAAUGCCGACCCCGU
RNAcentral lists this ribosomal RNA (527 nucleotides) under Tympanis pseudotsugae. RNAcentral's name for it is "partial large subunit ribosomal RNA". It matches the Rfam family "Eukaryotic large subunit ribosomal RNA", at positions 56 to 598 of the family's 3401-position model. Lineage: Eukaryota; Fungi; Ascomycota; Leotiomycetes; Leotiales; Tympanidaceae. The record is from RNAcentral.